RNAcentral lists this long non-coding RNA (785 nucleotides) under Homo sapiens (human). RNAcentral describes it as "non-protein coding lnc-KLF13-3:2". Lineage: Eukaryota; Metazoa; Chordata; Mammalia; Primates; Hominidae. The record is from RNAcentral.
UGAGGAAGUGCUUUUUUUGGGUCUUCAGAGCUCUCUGCCAGUUGAGGGGCUGUGUCCUUAGGUCCCUGGGCUGCAGUGGUGGCUCCUCUCACUGACUACUCGUGUCCACCCUCAGCCCUGGCCUCAGGGGCUGGUCUUCUGUGUGGUCCCCACCAUAGAUGAGUCCUGAAGCCAGCCCGCUUGGGGCCUCCUCCCUGAAUCCAUGCCUGGACCUCGGGCAGCUCGCAGCAUCCUGGCCUUACAUCCCCUACGGCCCCAUGUCCUGGCCUGUACAGCCCACCACAGCCCUGUGAACCCUGAGCUCGCCAGUUUCUGCCUUCAGGUGCUUCAGUCAGGUGUCAGAAACUCAACCCUGCAGCCCUCAAGCCCCAGAGAUGAUGCCCUACACCUCUCAGCUCAACAUGGGGAGAGAAGACACAGGCAAAAGGCAGAGCAACUGUGCUUGUGCACAAAGGCCUCUCUUGUGGACUCUGAACCCCAAGUGAAUUCUUGGAGCAGAGACACCUGGCCUGGAUCCAGUCUGCCAGCACCUAUCAGGCGUCCUCCCUGUGGCAGGAGGGAGAGAGGCAACUGUGAAAACGAUGUCGAGGAACACUUAAGACCCAUCACAGGCAGGACUCGGGAGGCGUGCAGAGGAAGAGAGCAGUUUUCCACAGUCGACUGAGUCUUCAGAAUGCUUGUCCUCAAAUGUCCUGCCAAGAUAGACUGUUGGUAUGGACAUAACAUAGCCUUAAAACACAGUGACAAGACAGCCCUGGAGGAAGGGUGUGCCAGCGUAUGUGGGU